Molecule: ribosomal RNA, 520 nt
Filed under: uncultured Paraglomus
Lineage: Eukaryota; Fungi; Glomeromycota; Glomeromycetes; Paraglomerales; Paraglomeraceae
Description: bacterial SSU rRNA
Rfam family: Eukaryotic small subunit ribosomal RNA
Source: RNAcentral
AGCAGCCGCGGUAAUUCCAGCUCCAAUAGCGUAUAUUAAAGUUGUUGCAGUUAAAAAGCUCGUAGUUGAACCUUAGGCCCGUGCGGGCGGUCCGUCCUCUGGGCGAGCACUGCCUCGUCGCGGGUCUCACCUUCUGGCGAGCGUGGAUGCCAUUCAUUUGGUGUCUGCGGGAACCAGGACCUUUACCUUGAAAAAAUUGAGUGCUCAAAGCGGGCUCUUACGCUUGAAUACAUUAGCAUGGAGUAAUGAAAUAGGACGACUGUUCUAUUUUGUUGGUUUCCGGGACGGUCGUAAUGAUUAAUAGGGAUAGUUGGGGGCAUUCGUAUUCAAUUGUCAGAGGUGAAAUUCUUGGAUUUAUUGAAGACGGACUACUGCGAAAGCAUUUGCCAAGGAUGUUUUCAUUAAUCAAGAACGAAAGUUGGGGGAUCGAAGACGAUCAGAUACCGUCGUAGUCUCAACCAUAAACUAUAGCCGACUGGGGAAUCGGGGCGAGUGUUAUUUUUCGUGUACUCGCUCGGCG